RNAcentral lists this unclassified non-coding RNA (152 nucleotides) under Humicola sphaeralis. Its description in RNAcentral is "Chaetomium sphaerale ITS2". The record is from RNAcentral. Lineage: Eukaryota; Fungi; Ascomycota; Sordariomycetes; Sordariales; Chaetomiaceae.
CAACCAUCAAGCCCCCGGCUUGUGUUGGGGACCUGCGGCUGCCGCAGGCCCUGAAAUGCAGUGGCGGGCUCGCUGUCACUCCGAGCGUAGUAGUUACAUCUCGCUCUGGGCGUGCUGCGGGUUCCGGCCGUUAAAAAGCCUUAUUUACCCAA